UAGCCCUGUGCAGGCGGGUAUUAACCCCGUCCUUACCAAG
Molecule: transfer RNA, 40 nt
Filed under: Trachylepis perrotetii
Lineage: Eukaryota; Metazoa; Chordata; Lepidosauria; Squamata; Scincidae
Description: partial tRNA-Tyr
Source: RNAcentral